CGGAUGGAAGGUGGGAAGGAACCGCGGAAGGCUGGCGUGCGUGGAGUGUUCUGGAAGGGCUCCGGGUGGCCGGCCAUGUUUGAGCCUGGCAAGAGCGGCGGGGUUCCAGAAGGGACUACCUUCCUUUUGCACGGACUAAGCCAAUCACAAUAGCGACCUUUGGCUUCUUGGCUAAAAACGACCCCGGGAGGAAAAAAUUUUAAGUACUCACGAAGUUCCGUCCUUGGAGACACGGAAGACUGGGGCGUGCAGAGGAACACAGGCUGCUAAAUACGAAACAAUCAUAAGACGAACCCAAGACAGGCUGUUAGCCACUGCCGGGUUCUAAGGUAGCAAAGAGUAGUGACAACGAUCUGGUUACUCGAUAGGAAGCCGGAAAUUCACCUGCCAAACCAAGUUCUGGGGAAGCAGAAAAUAAAACCGGAAGACCAACAAGGUGUAUGACAGUAGCCCCAAAUCUGAGCGAGCCAUUGUUUCCUCCUCACCAUGUUCCUUCUCCACCCUCAUUGACUCAUCUUGUUCUCCACCCGUCUCUUGAUCCCCCCCCCUUUUCCCUCCUACACAUGUUUUCUGUUCACCUGGGUUGAACAUGUUGAGAACUGAAUCCCCAAUUUCCCUUCUCAAACCUGUUUAUCCUCCGGUAUCCUUACAUCUGUUCAUGACACCGUAAGCCACCCACUAAUCCCAGCUAGAAGGGUGAACGUCAUCCACUCAAGCCUCACCACUCCUCCAGCCUCCCACUUCCAGUCCACAUACUGAGCCUUUUCAUCUGCUUAUUACCCCCUAAAACGUCUUGUCUGUCCCAUCCUUUCCACUCCCACUGCCACUGCCUGAGUUGAGACGCUCCUUAUGUCUCUGCGAAACUCUUGCAUCUACUCCCUAAUUAAUUUCUCUGCCCUUCAGCCUCACCUGUUCUCAGCCUCCUCAGGCUGAAGUGAUCCAAAUGCAAAUCUGAACAUGCCAUUCCCACAACGAAGGCAUGGCGUAGAUAUGGUCAAAGCUGCCUAACAUAGAGCGCAAACAGAAGAUGGGAGCUACUGCUGACCUCUUCCUAUAAUUCCCUCUCCUCCCUCCCUCAUCUUUCUGUCCUCCUCCCUCUCGGCUCUCUUCUUUAUAAAAACUUCUUACAUUAUGAAUAUGCAUUGUCUGUGUGUAAGUGCAAAUGGGUGCAAGCGGCCUUGGAGGCCAGAAGAGGGCACCAGAUCCCCUGUCCCGGGAUUACAGGUGGCUGUGAGCUGCAGGACAUGGGUACAUCAGAACUAGCAGUCUCUGGAAGAGCAGCAAGCACUCUAAACCACCGAGCCAUCUCUCCAGCCUGCUCUCCCCAUGUUGGUUAUGUUUCUGACUCUACUUCCCCAAAUGUCCCUGUUCUUUUUCAUGGUUCCUGACUUUGUAUUAGUUCCUCGACUGGGAACCAUCUGCCGUCUGAUGCAUCCCCAAAACAGAACUCAGAAUUUCCUUUUGUAGAAUACAUUCCCAGACCUCAUUCCUGUGUUCCAGACUUGUACUUCUCAAGCCUUCCUUUGAACACGAUCCGAAGUUAUUAAAACAGGUUCACAGUCAGGCCUGCUGGCUGGAGGCUGGGAAUGUCCGUUCUAACAAACCUCCAGAAGCAGCAGCAGCUAGAAAACCACACUGUAAGGAGCAAGGCCUUACAGCGCUGUCUCCCUGCAGUAACUAAUGUGGCUUCAUGCCCUCUUCAUUCAAAUCUUUUGCAAUUAUAAGGUCUUUACACCCUUGGUGUCAAGCGCAUGUGUUUCCUGAGCAAAACUCAACUCUCCCUCGACGUUUCUAAUGCUUCUCUUAUUAUCAUCUUUCUCCCAAUUUACCUUCUGCCGAAAGAAGAUUUUGUAACCUGAGGUCCUAAGACCUUAGUAUGGCUGAAAAGUGAUGAACAUUUGAUCACUGUCUUCUCUCUCUCUCUCUCUCUCUCUCUCUCUCUCUCUCUAUCUAUCUAUCUAUCUCGUGUGUGUCUGUCUGUCUGUCUAUAUCACCUCCUUCCCCUCACCUUUCCUUCCUUCCCCUGGAAGAGAAAAUGGCGAGAUGAGGAGCUACUAAGCGCAGUCUGAGACUUGUACUUUGGGCAAUAUAUCCAUAUCUCUUCUCCCAUCCCCUCUUUCUCAGCCAGGAAGCUUUACUUAGACAGCUGGCCAUAUGGAAUCACACCUGGUGUCUUAGUUACUUUUCCAUUUGCUGUAAA
Molecule: non-coding RNA, 2200 nt
Organism: Myodes glareolus (Bank vole)
Lineage: Eukaryota; Metazoa; Chordata; Mammalia; Rodentia; Cricetidae
Source: RefSeq, a predicted model, not a curated record